RNAcentral lists this ribosomal RNA (197 nucleotides) under Gamszarella antillana. RNAcentral's name for it is "Lecanicillium antillanum 5.8S ribosomal RNA". The stretch from base 3 to 156 matches the Rfam family "5.8S ribosomal RNA". Rfam says of the family: 5.8S ribosomal RNA (5.8S rRNA) is a component of the large subunit of the eukaryotic ribosome. The record is from RNAcentral. Lineage: Eukaryota; Fungi; Ascomycota; Sordariomycetes; Hypocreales; Cordycipitaceae.
AAAACUUUCAACAACGGAUCUCUUGGUUCUGGCAUCGAUGAAGAACGCAGCGAAAUGCGAUAAGUAAUGUGAAUUGCAGAAUUCAGUGAAUCAUCGAAUCUUUGAACGCACAUUGCGCCCGGCAGCAUUCUGCCGGGCAUGCCUGUUCGAGCGUCAUUUCAACCCUCGAGCUCCCUUUGGGGAGCACGGUGUUGGGG